CAGCCGCCGCGGGAAUACGUUGGUGGCAAGCGUUGUCCGGAAUUAUUGGGCGUAAAGGGCUCGCAGGCGGUUUCUUAAGUCUGAUGUGAAAGCCCCCGGCUCAACCGGGGAGGGUCAUUGGAAACUGGGAAACUUGAGUGCAGAAGAGGAGAGUGGAAUUCCACGUGUAGCGGUGAAAUGCAUAGAGAUGUGGAGGAACACCAGUGGCGAAGGCGACUCUCUGGUCUGUAACUGACGCUGAGGAGCGAAAGCGUGGGGAGCGAACAGGAUUAGAUACCCCCGUAGUCCCUGUCUCUUAUAC
Molecule: ribosomal RNA, 301 nt
Filed under: uncultured bacterium
Lineage: Bacteria
Description: partial 16S ribosomal RNA
Rfam family: Bacterial small subunit ribosomal RNA
Source: RNAcentral